RNAcentral lists this ribosomal RNA (496 nucleotides) under uncultured bacterium. RNAcentral's name for it is "partial 16S ribosomal RNA". It matches the Rfam family "Bacterial small subunit ribosomal RNA", at positions 28 to 506 of the family's 1533-position model. The record is from RNAcentral.
GAUGAACGCUGGCGGCGUGCCUAAUACAUGCAAGUAGAACGCUGAAGCUUGUUGCUUGCACCGAGCGGAUGAGUUGCGAACGGGUGAGUAACGCGUAGGUAACCUGCCUCUUAGCGGGGGAUAACUAUUGGAAACGAUAGCUAAUACCGCAUAAAAGUCGAUAUCGCAUGAUAUUGAUUUGAAAGGUGCAAUUGCAUCACUAAGAGAUGGACCUGCGUUGUAUUAGCUAGUUGGUGAGGUAACGGCUCACCAAGGCAACGAUACAUAGCCGACCUGAGAGGGUGAUCGGCCACACUGGGACUGAGACACGGCCCAGACUCCUACGGGAGGCAGCAGUAGGGAAUCUUCGGCAAUGGGGGCAACCCUGACCGAGCAACGCCGCGUGAGUGAAGAAGGUUUUCGGAUCGUAAAGCUCUGUUGUAAGAGAAGAACGAGUGUGAGAGUGGAAAGUUCACACUGUGACGGUAACUUACCAGAAAGGGACGGCUAACUACGU